Molecule: long non-coding RNA, 358 nt
Filed under: Solanum tuberosum (potato)
Lineage: Eukaryota; Viridiplantae; Streptophyta; Magnoliopsida; Solanales; Solanaceae
Description: long non-coding RNA (STUB_LNC003349)
Source: RNAcentral
UCUCCGUUAGCUUUGAUCCAAGCCGCGCCAAUCCCGACUUCAGUUCUUCAUAAGUGAUUGUGCCACUAUUGUCCGUAUCAAUGUUGUCAAACAUAGCUUUCAGACCCUUGAUUUCUUCUUCAGAUAAAUUCUCCGCAAUGACCUACGGAAAUUACAAAUGUAAUAGAAUAUCAAGAGCUUACUUCCAACAUCAAGUGCCUUUAUCUCAAAAAAACAUCAAGUGCCUAAUAAAUGCUACAUCUUCUAGAUAAUUCAGUAUGGGCGGCAUCCCACAUCAUUUUUGCUACUGAAGAACCAGUAAUGAUAGUCACAGAUUCUGAGUAAUAGCAGUCUCGAGAAAAUACUUAACCACCUGCAG